RNAcentral lists this ribosomal RNA (407 nucleotides) under bacterium. RNAcentral describes it as "bacterial SSU rRNA". It matches the Rfam family "Bacterial small subunit ribosomal RNA", at positions 354 to 776 of the family's 1533-position model. RNAcentral also lists the same sequence under 1 other name. The record is from RNAcentral.
GUGGGGAAUAUUGGGCAAUGGACGCAAGUCUGACCCAGCAACGCCGCGUGAAGGAAGAAGGCUUUCGGGUUGUAAACUUCUUUUAAGGGGGAAGAGCAGAAGACGGUACCCCUUGAAUAAGCCACGGCUAACUACGUGCCAGCAGCCGCGGUAAUACGUAGGUGGCAAGCGUUGUCCGGAUUUACUGGGUGUAAAGGGCGUGCAGCCGGAGAGACAAGUCAGAUGUGAAAUCCACGGGCUCAACCCGUGAACUGCAUUUGAAACUGUUUCCCUUGAGUGUCGGAGAGGUAAUCGGAAUUCCUUGUGUAGCGGUGAAAUGCGUAGAUAUAAGGAAGAACACCAGUGGCGAAGGCGGAUUACUGGACGAUAACUGACGGUGAGGCGCGAAAGCGUGGGGAGCAAACAGG